This is a long non-coding RNA of Thamnophis elegans (Western terrestrial garter snake), 1120 nucleotides long. RefSeq lists it as uncharacterized. NCBI's taxonomy places the organism in Eukaryota, Metazoa, Chordata, Lepidosauria, Squamata, Natricidae. The transcript has 3 exons. The record is from RefSeq and is a predicted model, not a curated record.
UGCAAUGGAGAGAGAAGCAGAGUAUUUUACUGCAGCAUAAUGCUGAACAGCUGUGCUUGGAGUUGAUCAUUACUCUUCAUGUUGAAAAAAAGUUCAGUCAUAGUCCAUUACUUUGGAAGGUCUUUUAGUGUAAAAGAUUUGGAGGAUAACUAACCAUAAGGAUCAGAAAAUAAUGAGGUGCUCAAAUCAAGGCCAUGAAAUUUAGACCUUCAUCAAAACACAACUUCAGUGGCAGUGGACCUCUCCUCUUCCCCGCCCCCCCCAAUUGAAAAGAUCUCUUCCAUUUUCCUCUUCUAGCCAAAGAAACAGAAAGAAUAAGAAAAUUGUAUUGUUUUCUUAUUCAUUUUACUGGUCCAUCGGCGGGCAGACAGGAAAGUGUCAAGUACAAGGAGUCAAUGAAGAAUGUCUGUCAAUCAAUCCAUCACAGAUGUGUUAAGUAUGAUGUGGUCAGAAUAACAAGUCAUCACAGCCAAAGCAGAGGAAAUGGUUUAAAAUCCAGAAACUGAUUCCUUAAGCUUGAUCUUUAUUUUCAGCUAUAUUAUGCACAUGAUUAUAGAAGCUUAAGGCUGCAAGCAUGGAAAAAUGCUAAGAGUCAUAUGCUGGGGGCAGGAAGCAGAAGAGUAGAUGUGAUGUCAGAUUUUUUUUUCUUGAAGCUAUGUUUUUCCUUUGUGCUCAGAAAGUGGAAACUGACAUCUCUUAUCAUCACUGUCCAAGAAGAAAGAACUGUUCUUGGAUUCUGCCUUGAUCACUUCUAUACAAUACUCUAUACAAUAAUCUAACAGAAGUGUCUAUAGGAAACAGACCCAUUUAAAAAAUUGGAAGAUCAGUUGAAAGCAUCCAGCUUACCUGAAACUAUAAUUAAAAACUGUUGCUUUGCAUUGAUUGGGGAAUUUAUAUUUAACUAUAGAUGUUAUGCAAGAUUGAAAAGAAUUCCUACACAGAUGUUUUACAUACAGUAAGUCAAACGUGAAUUCACUUUACACUAAGUCCUGGGAACAAAACUUGUUUUUGACUCUAUCAUGCUCUACUAAAAGUAAAAAUUUAUCAUAUUUUGAAGAAAUAUGGUGUGACAGACUAUGUAUGUGAGUCAAUUUUUAGAUUAGAUGUAUCGUCUACGUCA